This 253-nucleotide ribosomal RNA is filed under the name uncultured bacterium. RNAcentral describes it as "partial 16S ribosomal RNA". It matches the Rfam family "Bacterial small subunit ribosomal RNA", at positions 524 to 776 of the family's 1533-position model. The record is from RNAcentral.
UACGAAGGGGGCUAGCGUUGUUCGGAAUCACUGGGCGUAAAGCGCACGUAGGCGGAUUUUUAAGUCAGGGGUGAAAUCCCGAGGCUCAACCUCGGAACUGCCUUUGAUACUGGAGAUCUUGAGUCCGGAAGAGGUAAGUGGAACUGCGAGUGUAGAGGUGAAAUUCGUAGAUAUUCGCAAGAACACCAGUGGCGAAGGCGGCUUACUGGUCCGGAACUGACGCUGAGGCACGAAAGCGUGGGGAGCAAACAGG